UUCCAACGAGUCGGCAGCGCU
This 21-nucleotide microRNA is filed under the name Marchantia polymorpha subsp. ruderalis. Lineage: Eukaryota; Viridiplantae; Streptophyta; Marchantiopsida; Marchantiales; Marchantiaceae. The record is from RNAcentral.